Molecule: unclassified non-coding RNA, 200 nt
Filed under: Pyronemataceae sp.
Lineage: Eukaryota; Fungi; Ascomycota; Pezizomycetes; Pezizales; Pyronemataceae
Description: partial internal transcribed spacer 2
Source: RNAcentral
UUAAGUUCAGCGGGUAUCCCUACCUGAUCCGAGGUCAACCUUUGGAGGGGGUGUUUUUAGAUAACGGCAAUGAGCCCAACGUUCCCAACUGCUGGUUGGCGAAAAGUGCUUGACAGCUUUUACAACGCCUCACUUCAGCAGAGGAUGGGUACGGACCCGCCAUUGAAUUUUGAUGGGGAGGAGAGGGGAUCCUUACAGAU